ACGGGGGGUGCAAGCGUUGUUCGGAAUUAUUGGGCGUAAAGAGCGUGUAGGCGGCUGAAUAAGUCAGAUGUGAAAUCCCUGGGCUUAACCCAGGAAGUGCAUUUGAAACUAUUCAGCUUGAGUAGGGGAGAGGAAAGUGGAAUUCCUGGUGUAGGGGUGAAAUUCGUAGAUAUCAGGAGGAACACCUGUGGCGAAGGCGACUUUCUGGGCCUGUUCUGACGGUGAGGGGCGAGAGCGUGGGUAGCAAACAG
This 251-nucleotide ribosomal RNA is filed under the name uncultured prokaryote. RNAcentral's name for it is "partial 16S rRNA". It matches the Rfam family "Bacterial small subunit ribosomal RNA", at positions 525 to 775 of the family's 1533-position model. The record is from RNAcentral.